GGAUCUUUGGCAGAGUUGGUCGAAUGCACCGGUCUUGAAAACCGGCGAGGGUUAUACCUCCCAGAGUUCGAAUCUCUGAGGGUCCACCA
RNAcentral lists this transfer RNA (89 nucleotides) under Sulfurimonas gotlandica GD1. RNAcentral describes it as "tRNA-Ser (TGA) (tRNA-Ser-TGA-1-1)". It matches the Rfam family "tRNA". From Rfam's summary of the family: Transfer RNA (tRNA) molecules are approximately 80 nucleotides in length. Their secondary structure includes four short double-helical elements and three loops (D, anti-codon, and T loops). RNAcentral also lists the same sequence under 12 other names. Lineage: Bacteria; Pseudomonadati; Campylobacterota; Epsilonproteobacteria; Campylobacterales; Sulfurimonadaceae. The record is from RNAcentral.